GAAAUGGAAGAGAUAUCCGACUGGCCUGUUUGUGGGUUGCCGUUUUCUAGCCGUUGUUUGAAUGUUCACUGUCACAACUCCAACCGCGUUUAUUAUUUUACCUCAAAUGACCACUGAAAACAUGAAGACGUGCACAAAUUGUUGACUGAACAUAGCAUGUAUAACAAAAGUCUAGCAUCCUGAUUUUGAGAGUGUUUAUAGAGCAUGACCUUGCAGGCCUCGCACUCAUCUCGGUCCAAAUGUGGUCGCUCCGCGGUGCCAGCAUCUGUCUCUUUCUGACUGUUUCUCUCCUCGCCACAGCUGGCUAACAAACCCUUCAAAAAAAAAGAGAAACACAUCCAAAUUAAAAAUCUCUGUCCUGACCGAUGUUAUUACAAUCUUUAACAUGCCAGUAAACAUGGAUGAAGGAGAGCGGUAAUGCGACCUGCAUGUGGAUUUAAGCGGCCCUGUGAAGGCUGCUGGGUGGCUCGUUCCUCGGUGCCGGGAGACCGAGCCUCAACAUUGGGCCUCUGAUCUCUUUCUCUUACUCUCCUUCGUUCUUCUCUGCUAUAGCAAAUCCUUUCAUUUCCUCUCUGGAAAAUCUGUUCUUCAUAAUAUCACACAGAGAGCUGGAGUGGGAAGGUGGGAAGACGCCAAGGACAGGCAGAGAGAGGGAGUAAAAUUUAUGACAUUUUUCAGACUUGUAUCCAACUAUGUUUCCAUUCCAUGUGGACGUGGCUGUCUUCCAAUGAUGAGCACGGGCUGUGUGCGCUGGUCAAGGAUAUAAGUGAAGGUCCGCUGUCGUGCUGUUGAUGGGGCAAUGCAGAAUAGUCUAGGCAAAGAUGGGAUUAUACAGAAGCUGCAGCGUGGAUGAGCUUUGUACUGCACCACAAGGAGCCCAAUGGACCAAAUGAGACAUCGUGUUCUUGAAUCUAAACAUUCCAGGAUCCAGGCAUGAUGUGGUACAUCUGAAAAAGUCAUGCAGUAUCGCAAAACAUUUUUAUGUAAAGGGAAGGAAGAGUCAGAACUGAAUCCUUAUAGUCUCCAUAGCUAAAUGACUGAAUGAUUAUUUUGUCAGUUCGUGUUUUUAUAACUGUGCCAAAAGUGAUCAGUUCAAGUAUUUAUGUGGAUGAUAUGUGAUAGAAGGUUUGCUUGUGUUGUAGUAGUUAAAAUGACUUGCUUUGGGUUGGGGAACACGGUGGUUAUGGUAAAUGAAAACCCAGCUUACAGUUGGAAAGAGGCAGGAUGCAAAUUGCUUCCUCUGAUGUUGAUGUUGCAUGCAUUAUUUAGCCAGUAUUUCAUCCGCAGACCAUCUGUACAGAUGUUAUGCCACCAUAACCAUCUACUCUCUGGUCGGGGUUAUCAUUUGCACAACAACAAGAGAAAAACAUCAUUUAUUUUAUAAGGCAGCUGAUCAUUUCUUUUAAGGUCACUUACAAUAGCAAACGAAAAAUAAGAUGUUACCAUAUAAAGUUUUUGUGGCAAACAAAACCCAUCGAGAAGACACUUUAUACAUUACAUUAUACAUUAUACAUAAUUUGUUCCCUUUGGUUUUGGUCUCCAACAACUAAAAACACGGCCACUGGGCUCCUCAAUGCUACAUUAUGUUCCAUAGCUGGGCAGGUAGCAUUCAAUAUGUUUAUUGGGGCUCUCUUUCAAUCACUUUGUAAUCAGUUGAUAUGUAGCUUACACGCCAUGUUAACCUAAAAACAGAACAGUGCCCUAAUGAUGACUUAAAAUAAUUACUAGCUACACACAAGCAUAGUCAAACACCAAAAAACAGACUAAAAUCCAGUGCAAAAACCCCCAAAUGUUACAAAUGUUAAGAUCAAAUGUUUCUGUGAACCAUAAUUAUAUAUAACACAAGGGCUAAAUAUACAGACAGUGAGCGACAAAAUAGGUUUACGUUGUGGUAAAAUAGUUUUAACUAAAAACAGUACAUGAGACAGUGAGAGAUGAAUCCAAACAUGCAAUAAAAAACCAAACCAAUGAGCUGGAAGAUGCUGCAGCAUCCAUCCAGCUUCGCGUAGCGGUUACAGUGAGUCGUGUGACCCAUUGAUCACAUAACGACAGCGUUUAAUACAGCCUCAAACAUUGGCUAAACAACACAGGCAGGUGAACUCCAUGUGAGGUCGGCUCGUUUGGUACUUGAAGGAGGAAAAGCACGCUGAAGAGAACGUAUCCGCUGAAAGAGGAAGCCAGGAUUAACGAUGAAAUGAAUGACAAGCUUCAUGAUGGCAGGAGGCAGCAGCAGGUCCGUAUAGAGACCAGCAUUCAGCUUGACCCACACUGAUCUCUGCUGUCUAUUGCACUCAGAGCCAAAGAAAGCUGAUAGACUUUCAAAAAACACAUCACUUGUCAAAAGGAGCUGUCAGACACUAAGGUAGCAAGGCACUUCAAUUAGAAGAUACCAAAGUAAGCCCCCUUAUCCUGGAUGUGACGUUUCUGUUGAUCUGGCAUUUUCCUUCGGAAAGAGCACAAAGCCAAGAGACACGAGACAACAAGAAAACAAACUGGAAAAGGGAGAUAUAUAAGGGGGGGUUAAAUAUUUAUUUUUUCAAACUCUUACCUGCUGUAGUCUACAAACCAUUGCAGUAGCACUUACUUGCCAUCCAAUUUCCAAAGCAUCCCCGGAGCUCUGGCUGGAUAUCCGACUUUUUUUGGCGGGCCGUUUGUUUGACUUUGUGCCAGCGGAGAAUAUCAACUUUCAUAGACUUAGAAUGUACUUAAAGUAAGUAAUCUAUCACGGUGAAUGUAUACAUAAUACUGGCAUUUCAAAAUGAAUCAAAGUUAACUGUUCAUUGUGAAGGAUCAAGCCUACUUGAUUCAAGUUUCCAGAAGGUGCUCGCUGAAUGUAGAAAUAAAUAGUAUGUUUGAAAAAUGGUCAUUCAAAGGCUAUGUAGGUUGUGGCUACGAGGUAAACACGUGGAUACCUACUGCAUUGAUCAUUCAAACAACACAACCAUUCGGGAUAAAGGACAAAAACUACUAAAUAAGCAAAUGUUACGGAUUCAUUUUAUUGUUCAAGACCAAAUUUUUUCUUUUUUUUUCCGUUCCUCCUCCUGAAUACCCUUCAUCCAAUGUUGUAUCCGAGCAUCUUCCUUUACCCUCCUUUCAUUUCCCUCACGUAUUUCCAAUGCUUUCAUACACGCUGCCUUUCCACUUUAUCUUUAGCUUCUGUCCUUUGUCUUUUUAAUCCGGUUGCAGUCUUCCUAACAAGUCUCUGCUCUCCUCUCCUCUCCCUGGAGUUCAGUGUUGAGAGCGCAACGGAAGAAUUUGUUUUGCUGCCUCUCAUCUGAUUAGUGUUGAUUUUUCUGCCGCAGUUCAGCAGAGUGAAUGAACUUCUUUUAACUGUUUAUCAGAGGCGCAUUUACGCUGCAUCACUUGGCGGCCCAGCGGUUUGUUACCUGCCAUUUACUAUGAAAUGAAAAUCGAUGGACGCUGCAAUGUGAUUUUAUGGCCCGCCGUUAUUGAGAGCAAUGAUGAUUUCCUGCUAAACAGGAUAUGGAACGUCAGUCCCCUCGGUGUUCCGCUUCGGCAACGGAAAGUGCUCAUAUAAAAAGCUGGUGGAGUAGUUUUAAAAUUUGCUGGGAUUGCUCCGACUGACAUUUGUAUCAAGGAAAUCUCUCAACCUUGCAAACGCUUUUUGUUCUCGAUGUAGGUGUCUGGAUCGAUGGCCAGCAAGCGUGAGUUCACUGUAAAAUCCUAAUAUCUGUUGCAGCAGCUUGAAUCUAACGUCCUGUGGUGUCUGUGCUGCGCUCAUAACUCCCCUCACACUCUGUCAUUUACCAAACUACAAGGGAUUCUUUGCUGCCCACAAUAAAAACAGUAGUUAACUUGAAGCCUCUCCACUGGAGAGGAGUUCUGCGCCAGACAAUGAUGACACAUUGUCUUGUCAGGGCAGUAAUGACUGAGAUUUACACUCUAUUAUUAGAGCUGGGCCCCUUCGAGCUGCCCUCAGAGACCCCUUCCUCUCUCCCGCGGAUCCAGCAAGAGAGGCAGAGCACAGAUCACAGCUAAUGCACUGAGUCACUGACCACAAAAUAGCACGCCGAUAAGAGGUAAAAUAACAGUGUUUGCCUCCGAGAGUGUGCAUCACUGUGACUAAGUGUCUCCAUUCCACCGCUUGUUUUUUUUUUUUAGAGGGAAAACUUCAAAUAACAGAUUACAGACUAGAAGGAAUCCUUGAUCACGUGAGUGUGCAGAGAUAGCAGCAGACGAGACGUCCCAGUCUCUCUGCAUGGUGACCCCGUUAACCGCCGAAUUAGAACGCUCUCAGCGGAUCGGCAGCGGGACGAGGAGAAGUAAAGAGGAGCGUGCCAGCAGAGUUUGGUCAGCACAGUGCAUGUUCCAACACCGUCAUUUAUUUACAAAACAACUACCAGGUUACCAUGCAAUCACCACUAUUCUUUAAAAAGAGGCAGACGGGCAGCUCGUAAGAGGCUAGAAAAAGGUCGGCAGGGUGAGGGCCGUGCUAAACAUACAAAUGUAUCUCUUGCGUGAACAACCCACAGGUCGGCUGUUCAUGUUGGUUGGUAUUGGUAUGAAGCUUAGGCGAAAAUUCAGUCAGGAAGACUGGACAGGCUGUGCCGUUUCCUGGUGGCCUUCUCUCUCCCUGGGGGUGCACGGCCAGCUGAUUAGGGGCGGGGUCGGGUAGUAGCAGACGUGGGUGUCGUAACCGUAAACCAAUCGCAUUGGUGCAGGCAAACGUUAAAAACUGUUCUCCUCUCUUUUGCUGUCAGUUGUCAUUUCAGCACGCUCCAAAGGUGACCCGCCACCACCCCGGACACCUCCAAUCUACAGCAGGACCUGGCAUAUCAGGAGAGUUAUGCAACUUGGGCUCUACCACCACCACCAGUGACUGGACUCCCAAAGGGGGGGGAUAUGCCUCGUCUCGGCUCGAGAUCCCGGCCCCGGGUCUAUCCUGCGGCAGGAUGGUCCAAGCCCCAAACAACUUGCAAUAUCUUAUUAUGCCUGUUAUAAUAAAGCAUGGUUGAAAUAGUUCAACAAGUCUCUCCGGAUUGAAUUACACAUAUUACCACAGGUGAUAAGCAUCAGCAGUGGGAGCUCCGGUUCACGGUCCAGCAGCUUUAAGGCAACUUGGACCCACAGUGUCCACAUCUCUUGCUUGCAUUAGUCAGUUGUCUUUGUAUGUGAUUCGUCUUUGUUUUACGUCUUUGCAUGAUGUCUUUUCCAUAAGAGAAAGAAAGUAAAUCCAUGCGAGACACUUCGCCGCCUCCAGACCGGAAAAACGCAGGGAGGUGACACCAAGUGUCCGUUGAACAUCUCUUGAGCCUCCAAUCUCGCCUCGUUGGCGACCCCAAAUACAACACGAGAGAGAGAGAGAGUUGGAUUCCCCAAACGUUGCACACACCCUUGAAGAGUUGGUGGGGUGUCGGGCGCUGUUGCCAAAGGAGGAGAAAACGGGGGGCAGAGGGAUGUGCAGGGUGAGCGGCGUAGAGGGAAAGGGUCCACUUCCUCAGCAGGAGGUUCAGAGCAGCCCGGCAAUGUCGCCAUGUCAUCGCCAUGGGAACACAGAGCCCCUGGACUCUUUGGGACUAAUAGGCAGUUGUCAAAGCAAUGAUAAGAUAAAUGCUGCGUUUGAUGGAAACGUGAAGCGAUGGGCCUGAUAGGCACCAAGAAGCCAAGACAAUAAGCAGAUAGCUGCCGAGAGGGGAGAAUCGGAGCGGUGGGGAGGGCGGCUGCGAGGCAGGGGGCAGAAAAUGUGAGGGUGGUAGAGUGGGGAGAAAGGGGCGAGGGGUGAAAACAGAGGAUGGACUCCCAACGGAGAGGCAAUGUCCAACGUCUCCUUCUCCCUCUGCCUCCGUCCAGGGUCUCUCUUUGUCUGCCGGGCUUGUCGGCUUUUUUUUAUUCCCCGCCUGAUUUCUGCCUCAUUCCCCCUCUCGCUAUGUGACCUGCACACUAACACUUGACUGUAGAAACAAUCUAAACCUGCUGCCAUGGGUGUGUGAUAAGUUCAAACACAUAUACACACAGACACACACACCCCCCCACACACACACAUAUGUGUAGAGGGGAGGGGGUAUGUGCUUAUCUAAUGUUGAGGAUUGAAUUCAGUUAGCCCCAGUGGGAUUGGGUUAGGAGAUGUCAGAAAGAUAGAUGGGCAUCAUGCUACGCCCCCCCCCCCACCCACCCUCCAACCUCCCAAAUUGUUUUGCAUGUGUGUUAGUGUGUUUACUAUACAUGUGUGCCCGCAUAAUGCGUCGCAUCCGCCUACAUGUGAGUCCAAAACAUUCUAAAUCGGUAAAAUUGGUUCUAAAAUCUGCACAAAGGAAAAAGUUAAUAUGAAAAACAUUGGUGUGAGAUGAUUGUCUCGUCUUAGCUCUUGCAUAAAUACCAGUCAUGUUAUAUUACGUUGCACGUUCAGAAGCGUACAUAGCAUGCAUUAUGACCGGAGAUGGGGACUUUCUUCUCCGUGCAUGGAAGUCUGAUGCGACUCCGGAACUCCAGGAGUUGUUGAGCCCGUCUCACUCAUCUCCGUCCUGGAGGAGAGACUUUCCGUUUAUCCCACGGAUCUCCUCGCCUGAUCAAAACCACGGACACCUACAGCUGUAUAUGAAUGUUGGGUCACAGUUAUAAAAAAAAAGCAGGAUGAGAGGAAGAAAGACGACACCCCGACAGUUGGCUGCGUGAACGUGUUUGCAGCCGAACCACCAGCCUUUGGCCUCUGACGGGCUUCUUCUGUCAGUGUUGUGGUCGCGUAUUGAUUUGCCAAUAGUUGUAAAACAGUGCAGUCGGAUUUCACUCUCCCCCUGUUUUCCUUCAGCUUCUCGUUUGUAUGCUGGCAUACAUGCACACAUGCACAGUUCAUCUGAUACAGAUCAAAACAUCGUUUUAACUCUGAACCCGAUCACAGUCCGAGUUAAAAAAGAUUCCUAUCCUAUAAAGCUCCACAGAUUGUGUGUUUCUUCUGUCUUUCUUUGUCGCACAAAUGCAUUCACACACACACUAUAUGGGUGUGUAUGAUCUUUUCUCCAGAGAGUCUGAUGCCCUGCAGUAAUAGCUAGCCAUACCUGACCAUAGCUGGCUGCUCAUGGCCUCAGGCUACUGCUUAGCAAUUCCAUUCUGAAUACAAUGGGCUGCAGGCUCGCACACACACACACACACACACACACACACACACACACACACACACACACACACACACACACACACACACACACACACACUCAAAAACAGAAACCCAUAUACAUCCAACGGACCUCUUUCAAAGCUACUGUCCAGUAAUGAAUUUCCAGGCCUUGAAAAGCUCCUUCUGAUAUACUUCAAACAGGUACUAACCAAAAAUAGAGAGACUGUGCCUUCAUCCUGCCCUACCUCCACCUUCUGCGUCUGCAUCGCCUUGUGAAACCCCGACAAAGUGCAUGUAUGGACCAGGACCCCCAAAAUCAGCAGCCUAUAUAUCCUUUAAAUCACUUUUAAGAGCACGAAAGCCUGAAUGUUCUUUUGUGGGCCGCAAAGGUUCAUAAAUGACUUUCUGCAAUGUAGAAAUGUAAUGUACGUCCUCAUAUUGCUUCCUUCUUCCUGUCCCACGCUUUGGGAGUUAUUUAUUUUUACUUAUUGUUUUAUUGUUAUUGUUUGACAUUGGCUAGUCCUGCAAAGAAGCAAGUCACAGGAAGAACACGAUCCACAUAUGAAGACAUGCCAAUCACAGGCUCGGGGAAGAGGGAGGACGAACAAGGUGCUGCAGCAACCUCUCCAACCUGCAUUUGACAGAAUACAUUUCUGUCACACUCGCUUGAAAGAGGAGACUCACACAGACACAUAAACACUGAUACACACAUGCCAGUGCAGGAAGUAGUGUAGUGCAUGAAGCCAGUUGGAACGUAAAAGGGACGGGCCUAACCUUAACUAUGGCAGUUAAUGCACCACAACUACUAUACAACAGUCUUGUCUGGAACAAAGGUACUUAGCUAGCUUAGCACAAAGACCAACAGCAGGAAGAGGCAGGUGCCCUUGUUCUGUUCAAAGAUGAAGAAAAGAAACGAGGACCGGGUGUUGUAGAGUAAAUAUAAAACCCUGACUUCCUGCUGUCUCCUCCAUUAUGGCAGCAGCCCUGGAAACUUAAUCUGCCGGAGCACUACAGCUGCCUGCCAGCCCACUUCACGACUGGCUCCCUUUACCCCCCCUGCGCUUCUUUCCUCCAACUGCUUCCUCUCCCUCGCUCAGCAUCCCCCUUCCCUCACGCUCCCUCACUUGUCACCAGUUUUUUUCCAGCAUAUCAUUAGUCUUUGCGCGCAUGCGCACAGACUGCUUUGGUUUCUUUUUGGAAUCUCUUAGUUGGGAGGAAAUGACAGGACGGAAGGAAAUAGUGAGACAGACUCAGGAGACGUGGGACAGGGGCGAAGGACGGGACGGAGAGAGAUGGACAUUGACGGUACGGCCCGCUGCGGGCGGCAGCCAUAUUUAUCUUCUGUUUAACGUGUGGUGGCCUCAACACAAUUCCUCCUUUUUUCUUUUUUUUUUACCGUGACCUUGUGCAUGGAGGGUAUUUUCCAGUCAGCAGAACGCUUUAUCUCUGAGCGUAACAAUCAAUAAGGAUAAUUAAUGAUGCCCGCCGCAAUGAUAGCCUCAGCAGUCAUUACCAGGCAUUAAUCCAUGCAGUCAGAGGAGGGUCAAGGCCGGCCGCAUCGCUCACUUAGGGGCGGGGCGCAAAUUAAAAUAGUCCACACACUGGUCGCUCUGCCAGGCCUUUUCUGAUGCAUUCACCUCCGUUGGACCAUAAUUAAAGAUGGCCCAUUGCUAGGUGGUGGGGCGCCAGGGUGACAAUCCACUGCCAUGUCUCUUUAAUAUACAACACUUAGCCCAGAGGAUGACACUAACAGCAAUCUGCAGGAACUCAUCUCACCUGCAAGCGUGGGAGGGGGGGGAUUUCGUUUUGUUUUUUUCCUUCUCUAGAUAUGCUGGGACAUAAAUCAAACGCACAACAUGCAAUUUUCUAAUAACGCAGCGCCAUCAGAAAUGUGAUUUAGCGGUAAAUAUAAUUUGGUCUCGGUGUGAGACGUAUCAAGUGGAUGUAUUAUCUUUGCAGUAAUGCUGUGCUUAGAGAAUUACAUUUCACAAAGACAUGAUGUCUUUAUGAGAGAUUCAACAGUUUGCCAUGAAAAUACAUACGUUGAGCCGUAAGUUGCAGAGUCCCACCACUGGAGAGAAACACAAAUUGGAUGUAAACAUGUAAUGAUAACUGCAUCUCACUUUCAUCUGAUCUUUUAUUCCAUUCCACAGAAACACAACCCAGAAACACAGUGUUAUCCUGUCUUCUGCUUUGUCUCCUUCUGAUUGGUUUCAGCAGCCCGUCAGAGGGAGGGAGGGGUGGAUCCUCCGAGUGCCCACCUUGUUGUCAAGGACAGUUACAUUCGCAGUUUAAAGUUUGGAGGAGAAAUUCAGCUUGAUUCCAUAAUUCAUGGCUGACAUUUUCAUUGUACUUAAACUUUAGGGGAAAAAUUGGAAAUGUGAGAUUUAAUUUCCUGUAAUGUUUAAAUUACUUUCUGCUUGGCCGGUGUCCAAGCACAAGGAAGCGCCGAGGGGCAGAAACGAGAUGUUUAAGCAGAGGUUGCUCUCGCUGCCAGCGGAGAAGUGGAGAGAAUCCAUAAUAAUGAAAAAUGCAUUUAUCCUCAGCUGCCAUCCCUCCUUUCUCUCCCCUCUGAAAAACAAAACAUUGCAAUGAAAAUGCAUGUGUGUUAGUGAGCCAGAAUGCAAUAUGUGUCACUUUCAACAUGCAGUGAAAAAGAACUACAUAAAAAUAAAUAAAGAAGCCUAGAGGCUGUCGAGCGGGAACUCAUCCUGAACAAUGAGGAAAGUCAAACGGAAGCAUGAAGAAGGGCGCCUGAUGGUGAUUGACAAGCUUUGGUUAUUUCUCACUCCCACGCAUGAUUACGCCGUCUUCAUCUGUCCUCCAGUAACUCUCUCACCUUCAGCUCUGUUUGGUUAAAGUGAAGAGGCGUGCGGGGCGCAGCACAAGGCGCUCAACUGAUUUCUAUGAAGUCGUUCUCACCAAGUUAACUUCUCUUUCCGCCGCGUUAAAUGUUCAUGUUAUUAGUUUUAUUGCUGGUCAGAACACAGUGGGGCAUUAUGUGUGAACUCCAAUUGCUGCCAAAUGAGAAAUACGCAGCAUCUACUGCUAGGAGCAGAUUCAUUUCAAUACAUGCAAGUAAAAUCUAGAAAUAUCCCCUUUCAGGCCAUGAUGUGCUUCCAGGUCUCCUCUGUAAGGAUUUCUCCUGAUUCAUGUUGGUGAAACCACCAGAGGAAAUGAAUGUUUUAUACGGCUACGUGGAGUAAACACUGCCAGCAGACUUCUCGAACAUGGCAGUCAUGUUGAACACAGCCGGCACUCUUGUCACUGUGACGUUUUCUUUUUUUUUUUUUGCUUACUUUCACAUCACUGGUGAUUUAGACUAACAAAUCAAACAUAAGAAGAGGCAUAAAUCUCUCACAGGCAGCCUGUAUACACCGUCUCUAAGUCUCAUUUUCCCCUUUAUUGUAACAGUAGAAACUGCAGUCCCAAAUGAAUUGAUCAGUGAUUCAAUAUUGCAGCAGGUCCUUUAAAACACCCUUAAGUUUUCAUGUAUGAUUGAUCAUCAGUGAAUUCUCUGCAUGUUAAAUUAGUUUGUUUUUCUCUGGGUUGAUUGUGCACUGCGAACCGUAUUUUCCCCAUUUUCUUUCCCUAUUUCCUGUCCAAUAAGGUAAUGGAGAAUUACAGAGAUUACUGAUACGCAUACAACAGACUGUCAAUCAUUUGAAAUUAAUUCUGUAAAGGCUCUGAUGAUUGUUAGAUUGCGUAUCUUCAGACAUAAACGGUCAUUAGGCAGCGAAAGGGGGUUGUUUAUAGAAAAAUGAUUUCUUCAGCUGAGUGCAUUUGAAACCAAAAAUAGUGAGUUCAUGUUUUCUGAUUAUUUAGUAAUUAACAAAGCAGUUUUCUGUGCUGAAUUUGGUGAGGAAUUUCACGCGGGGGUUGAUUUUGCAAAGCAUAGUUCCAGAUAAUCAUUUGUUUGUCUGUGUGCAUUCACCUGCAUUUUUCUGUGCACACCUUGGUCUUGUCAUCAGGUUAGCAGGAAGGAUUCCUGAUAUCGCUGAAACCUGCCAGCCGGUUAAUUAGAGCCGGCAUCCAGCCGCCCCUGGCUUCAUUUGACUAUCAGCCACAAAGCCACUUACUCUAUAAUUUCCUGCCCGAAUUGGAGGGCUUUACCAUCGCUCACAUAGGCAGAUCGGAAGUUUCCCUUCAUCUGCGACAUAAAGCCAGAAAGCUGCACCUAAACUAUGCAGACCCACCGUCGGAAUGCAUAUACUUUAUGAUUAGAAGGCCGAGGGUGGGAAGUUGAGACACAGGCGAGCUUCAAACCCGCAGCAGACAACAGAGAGAGUUGUUUGGCUGUCUGCGUGUGUCACUGUAAAAGGAGCUGAGAGGGCUUUCUAGUCUCAAGUUUUUCAAGCUGCAAAUCUGUGUCUGCUUGUUUGUAUAUUUCAUAUGGGUGAUUACAAAUUGUGUGUGUGUGUGCGUGCCCUUGUGUGACUGCGUGUACACGCUGUCUUCCAAUGUGUCACGCUGCCUUUUAACUUUUUAUGGUUUUCUCUUCAUUAAUUGAAAACAUGACGGGGUGCUCUCGGGCCUGAUGGAUGGAGCAGGAGAAUUGAGGAAGCCAUUAGCUUUCCUGGAAUCACAGCCUGUCAAGCAGUCAAUACACACUGCUUUAUGUGUCUCCAAGCAAAGAUGGAACAAUUAUCCCUUUUAUUAGGCGGCCACGGCGCGCACGCUCUCACGCGCGGGUGUGCGCACACACAGGCGGCGCGUGGCGGGCGAGAGGAGGGCAGCAAUAACGAUCAGCUAAAAUCAGUCAUUCAUUACUGUCAAGUGCACCUGACUAUCAGCUUAUUAAAAACAGGCAUAAUAGGAGGAAAGGGACCAAAAAAAAGAAGAAAAAAAACUUAAUUAGUUUACUGUAGGUUAUUGAAGUUAAAGUUGGGCAGAUUUUGUAGUAAUGGUUGAAAGAAGUAAACCUUGUAGGAACCAACCCGUCUCCUCCUCCUCAGAGGUUUUGUAACCACUCUUAUGUCUUUGAGGAAAACAAAUGCAGAUUGAAACAUACAUUAUAUAACUGUGGUGCUCUUAUUCAUGUUGAAUCAGUUGUCUACCGCCUGCAUGCAGUAUUCCUCUUUCAUAUAGUUUGCAUCUGAUGAAUGAAAGGCGAUUGGGCCCACUAAGCAUACAUCUUGUGAUUAAAAUUAGAUCUAUGUAGAAGCAUGUUACAUUGAUGUUCUCAACUGACUGCCACAUUAGGGACGACUGGUUAGAUGCUGAUAGAGAAAGCCGGCAGCCUGGUGUGAGGAAGGCAGAAGACAGUACAGCAGGACUGUAUUGUAUCACCAUCAAAGCCUUCAGCCUCGAAGAAUGUCAUUAUCUCUCUACUAGCAUCUACGUCCAGAUGGCCCCCAACCUGCUGCUCCCACCACCACGAAUAUGCCGUGUUUGUGUGUAUGGAGAUUCUUACACUGCAAGGGGCUCGUGUGUAUGCAUAGCGGUUAUUUAAUCCUCCGUAACAGAAAUAGGGGUUCAAUUAGAUUGUCUGCCAGAGAUACAGAGCAGCCAUAGCAUGAUUCAUAGAAGAAGGCUUUGAUGUUACACCCAGUCUGGCAUUAUAACACUUGGUCGUCUGGCCUUGAAAAUAAUUUUACUAUUUUAAUACAAACUUGCAAAGGUUACCAAGGCCGUGCUUAUGGCUGCCUCUCUGACAUCUAACCCUUGAUGAGCCCAAGCAGAGCUCUAGAUCUUCGGGCAGGGACAAGUCAAAGAGGCCUCACCUCUGCCAGUCCAUUUAAAAAAGAAAGUCUCUUUCAUUUCCUUUUGCAUGUUUAUUUCAUUUUCUUCCUUUUGAUUUCAUCAAAACACUUAUCCCCACAGUAACAAUACGAUGAGAAAUAUGGGCUGACUUGGACACGGUGCGUUUUUAAAGCGGCUGUGGCUGCACAAGCGGUGAGAGAUUAAGUUAGCAAAAGACAGUCGAUGAUGAAGGAGACACCGCGGGACACAGGGUGUAAUUUGGGCAUCCUCUUGUGGGUGAGGUGCCGCCGAGAGACACUGCGGAGAAGUGAGGGUGAGGCGGCGGGCCUGCUCGUGACUGAAAGGUCUGACUGAGACGGAGUGGGAGGGGGUGAGUCGGGCAGCAGGUGAGCGUGAGCAACCUGGGGGGAUUCAUCCGUCCUGGGUUCAGACAGGGCCUCAUUAGUGAGCAGUGAAUUACACUCCAGACACGUCUUUAUGUAGACUAAUCAUAUUACAGCCAGCGCGCUCAGCUUUACCCCGGGGGGGGAGGCGGGGAGGGGGGGAGAGGGAGAGAGAAAGAGAGAGAGAGACGCAGCAGCGAUGGAGGUUGGAGAACUUUAACACCUGAUUUGUCCGGGAGAACUCAAUGUCGUCUACAGCACCUCUGGCUGCAACUGUUUCAUCUCCCUGUCCGGCUGCGUGCUCUGCGUGACUCCGCCCCUGCUGACCGGCUCGCUCCGCCUCCCUCAUCUACCUCCUCUGGCGGACAUCCACCUGGCCAACUCUUUCUCAUCUCUUCUUCUUGCUUGUUUUCUGUACACCUUGCUGCCUCCCUCUCUCCCUCUCUCUCUCUCUCUCUCUCUCUCUCUCUCUCUCUCUCUCUGCACCCACCCACACUCUCCCUUCAAGCGAGUGCAUCCCUGCCCCCAUGUUGUCAGUUCUGACAAGCUGCUUUAAUGGGCGAUGUGGCGCGUGCCUCUGACCACUGAGCACAGUCAUUAACCUUCACUGGCAUAAUUGAAUUCAAGGUUGAUUGCUCGUGACCCUCCCCCCUGCCAAGGUCCCUCUCAAUGUACAUAUUCAUUACGGGGCCCCGGCUCUAAAUGGAUUGCACAGGGGAAGCUGUAGCAAUCAUCCGGGCCGCUCGAAGGGGGCAGCAGGCACACUGCUAGUGGGGGGGAGGGAGGGUGGGGGCACGAGGAGACCGAGGACGGAGUGAUGGGUGGAGGGAAAGAAGGGGAGGGGCACUAAUUGCAUGCUAGGGGAAGAGGAUCAGAUUAUGAAAAGAGUGAGAGAAUGAAGAUGGAUCCCUGUGACACUGUCAAAUUAAGGGCAGGCCUUGUAACACAGCAAGACACUGAAAUGUACAGUGGCACCCGCUACACUGGAGGAAAAGGGGAGACUGGGGGAGGGAAAGGGUGAGGGAAAGGGAGAGCGAGAGAUGGAGGGGGUAAAGAGAUGAGAGGGAGGACACUGAGGCUCAGAGAGAAUUGAAUGUUGAUGAAUGAAGUAAUGUAGACGCACACACACGCGCGCACGCACAUGCUCAGGCUGGUUUCAGUGUGAAGGGGGGCAUAUAUCACAUCACCCCAGAACCCCCAUAACAACCC
Gasterosteus aculeatus aculeatus (three-spined stickleback) is the source of this 14367-nucleotide long non-coding RNA. The record is from Ensembl. Lineage: Eukaryota; Metazoa; Chordata; Actinopteri; Perciformes; Gasterosteidae.